UCGAACAGUCGCGUAUAAAAUUCGUAAGGAUUUAUAUGAGGAAAGUCCGGGCUCCAUAGAGCAAGGAUGCUGGAUAACGUCCAGUGAGGGAAACCUUAAGGAAAGUGCAACAGAAAAUAACAGCCGUAACAGAGGUCAGAAAUCGGAUGUCAGAAAUCAGACAUCUGACAUCCGAUUGCUGACCUCUGUUAUGGUAACGGUGAAAAGGUGAGGUAAGAGCUUACCGCCAAUGUGGAGACACAUUUGGGUCAAUGUAAACCCCAUCCGGAGCAACACCUAAAGAGAAGGUUAAGACUGCUCGUCAUCUUCUAAAUUGGUGGCUUGAGGUAUAUAGUAAUAUAUAUCCUAGAUAAAUGGCUGUUCAAGACAGAACCCGGCUUAUAGAUAUGCUCC
This 393-nucleotide RNase P RNA is filed under the name chicken gut metagenome. RNAcentral's name for it is "Bacterial RNase P class A". It matches the Rfam family "Bacterial RNase P class A". Rfam says of the family: Ribonuclease P (RNase P) is a ubiquitous endoribonuclease, found in archaea, bacteria and eukarya as well as chloroplasts and mitochondria. Its best characterised activity is the generation of mature 5'-ends of tRNAs by cleaving the 5'-leader elements of precursor-tRNAs. The record is from RNAcentral.